This 385-nucleotide long non-coding RNA is filed under the name Nicotiana benthamiana. Its description in RNAcentral is "long non-coding RNA (NBEN_LNC017327)". The record is from RNAcentral. Lineage: Eukaryota; Viridiplantae; Streptophyta; Magnoliopsida; Solanales; Solanaceae.
UUUCAGUUCCAGUCAUUCUGAAUGAUGGGAUUCGAUGAGAGAACUUGUAAAGUUCGUUUGGCUUUACAAAAAAUAAGCCAGCCUUAUUUUGGCUGGUAGACUGGAAAAGGCUAACAAAUCCAACUACUUUGUCCAGGUAAUUUACUUCUAUACCAACAUCCUUGACAAAAUCAGAAAGAACCUCCACAAUUUCAUACUGAUACUUCCUAACUAACAAAUCCAACCACUUUAUCCAGGUAAUUUACUUGUAUACCAACAUCCUUGACAAAAUCAGAAAGAACCUCCACAAUUUCAUACUGGUACUUCCUAUGGUUUUCUGCGUCGGAGCUCCAACCAAUAUCCCAAUCUUUAAAAAGAGCCCAUGUCUCCCCUUUCCUAGGAUAUA